AACGUAGGACACAAGCGUUAUCCGGAGUUACUGGGCGUAAAGGGCGCGUAGGCGGUCGUGACAAGUCACUUGUGAAAUCUCCGGGCUUAACUCGGAACGGUCAAGUGAUACUGUCGGACUAGAGUACAGAAGGGGCAACUGGAAUUCUCGGUGUAGCGGUGAAAUGGCGUAGAUAUCGAAGAGGAACACCUGGCGGCGAAGGCGGGUUGCUGGGCUGAUACUG
RNAcentral lists this ribosomal RNA (223 nucleotides) under uncultured bacterium. Its description in RNAcentral is "partial 16S ribosomal RNA". It matches the Rfam family "Bacterial small subunit ribosomal RNA", at positions 524 to 742 of the family's 1533-position model. The record is from RNAcentral.